GACAUUUUUGAAUUACUUCUCCAGGUUGAACAAGAUCCCAGAGGUUCCCAGGAGUGUUCACGUCACGUCUGCUGAGCCAGCGCCACAGCACAAGAUGGCCGCCAGCCCAGCGCCACAGCACAAGAUGGCCGCCAGCCCAGCGCCACAGCACAAGAUGGCCGCCAGCCCAGCACCACAGCACAGGAUGGUUGACUCAACGCCUGAGUCUUCCGUCAAGGAGCCACCGGCUCGCCAUCAUAGAGGGCGGAGGAGGAGGAGACAGGCGUCAGCCGUUCCUCAAAGCCCGGAGGGGGGUCUCGAGCAGGCCGCUGCCGUCCAGGAGGACGUUCCAGAGCGGGCCGCUGCCGUCCAGGAGGACGUUCCCGAGCAGGCCGCUGCCGUCCAGGAGGACGUUCCCGAGCAGGCCGCUGUCGUCCAGGUGGACGUGCCCGAGGUUCCCGAGGCGGUGUCCUUGUCCGAUGCCGUUCCUGAGGCCAUUCCCGAGGCGGUGCCCGAUGCCGAGGUCGUUCCCGAGGCGGUGUCCUUGUCCGAUGCCAUUCCUGAGGCCGUUCCUGAGACCGUUCCCGAGGCGGUGCCCGAUGCCGAGGUCGUUCCCGAGGCGGUGUCCUUGUCCGAUGCCGUUCCCGAGGCCAUUCCCGAGGCGGUGCCCGAUGCCGAGGUCGUUCCCGAGGCGGUGUCCUUGUCCGAUGCCGUUCCUGAGGCCAUUCCCGAGGCGGUGCCCGAUGCUGUUCCGGGAGGCCGAUGCGGGGCCCGAGAUGGUUCCGGAGGCGAUACCCGUGUCCAAGGCCGUUCCCGAGGCGGUGCCCUUGUCUGAGGCCGUUCCCGAUGCCGUUCCCAAGGCCGUGACCGGGCCAUCGCCACAGCCUGCUCCUUACUGGCUCCCCGAUUGGCUGGUUCCGUUCGGGUCACUCAAAUGGCGAAUUCCUCCC
This is a long non-coding RNA of Cyprinus carpio carpio, 929 nucleotides long. The record is from Ensembl. NCBI's taxonomy places the organism in Eukaryota, Metazoa, Chordata, Actinopteri, Cypriniformes, Cyprinidae.